This 757-nucleotide long non-coding RNA is filed under the name Mytilus galloprovincialis (Mediterranean mussel). The record is from RNAcentral. Lineage: Eukaryota; Metazoa; Mollusca; Bivalvia; Mytilida; Mytilidae.
GGGUGAAUACGCCAGAAUAUUUACAAGUAGUUAAUGUUAGACUAUAGGAUGGACACUUUUAGUGAUAAGAUUAUAAAAAAAAGUAUCAGUUUGUUCAAAAUCAAAAUUCGAUUUUCAUCUCGCAUCGUGUCGAAUUUGCUAAACAUAGCAUGUAUGCAAUAGAAUCAUUCGUGUAAGUCCUCACAGAUUGUCAUUGAAUACUGCAUUUUUUACCUGUAAGAAAAGCAGAACAUGUAGUUAAAUAUUUAAAGAAAAGUAUUCUGAAUUCAUAUACUAAAUUCCACAUGUGGAGCAGGAUCUGCCGAGCACCUGAGAUCACCUGAGAUCACCUGAGAUCAUUUUUGGUGUGGUUCGUGUUGCUCAGUCUUUGGUUUUCUAUGCUGUGUCAUGUUUACUAUUAUUUGUCUGUUUGGGUUUUUUUUUUUCAUUUUUAGACAUGGCUUUGCCAGUUUGUUUUCGAUCUAUGAAUUUCUGGUAUCUCUUGCCCCUCUUUUCCAAAAUACAAAUUUACAAGAGAGAGAGAGAGAGAGAGGGGGGGGGGAAAUAAAAAGAAACAAUCAGUUGUCUCUCAAAAAGAGUUAAAUGUCAGUGGUCUACAGCAGGUACAUCGUAAAAAAAAACAACCCAGUAUAACAAACCAAAAUGCCUAUUUCACUAGAUCAAAUUAAUAAUAACUUGCAGAGUCUAUAAUUUCUUUGUACCAAGCGGGAUAUAAAUGUCACAACAAAUAUAAAAAAUAAAAUAUGUAUAAAUAGCU